This 478-nucleotide ribosomal RNA is filed under the name uncultured bacterium. RNAcentral's name for it is "partial 16S ribosomal RNA". It matches the Rfam family "Bacterial small subunit ribosomal RNA", at positions 28 to 523 of the family's 1533-position model. The record is from RNAcentral.
GACGAACGCUGGCGGCGUGCUUAACACAUGCAAGUCGAACGGUAAGGCCCUUCGGGGUACACGAGUGGCGAACGGGUGAGUAACACGUGGGUGAUCUGCCCUGCACUUCGGGAUAAGCCUGGGAAACUGGGUCUAAUACCGGAUAGGACCACUGCCUGCAUGGGUGGUGGUGGAAAGCUUUUGCGGUGUGGGAUGGGCCCGCGGCCUAUCAGGUUGUUGGUGGGGUGAUGGCCUACCAAGGCGACGAAGGGUAGCCGGCCUGGGAGGGUGACGGGCCUCAGUGGGACUGAGAUACGGCCCAGACUCCUACGGGAGGCAGGAGUGGGGAAUAUUGCACAAUGGGCGCAAGCCUGAUGCAGCGACGCCGCGUGAGGGAUGACGGCCUUCGGGUUGUAAACCUCUUUCAGCACCGACGAAGCGCAAGUGACGGUAGGUGCAGAAGAAGGACCGGCCAACUACGUGCCAGCCGCCGCCGUAA